GUCACCCCAUCUCGUGGUGUCACCCCAUCUCGUGGUGUCACCCAGCGCAUUCUGCACCCGCCGCACCGCCCUAGUGGCGCCCCUGAAUAUGUUCACAAUCGUCAGCAGACAGCUGUGACAAUUACAGGAUAUUUGAGACUGUCGGGAGCUCAUUCUACUUCACUGUAAGUCAUUCACACUCACUUUUAGAAAAUGGCAAAUGCCCUUUUGCCUGAAUGUGAAGGAAGACAGAUGGGUGAAGGGGGGCUCUGAAUUUCCAAGCAGAAAUGGAGUAAGACGGAUUAUCUCCACCUCAGCAUGACACCUGGACCAUGUCCUUAUCUUAGAGGUACAGAAACUCUCCAUGUGACUAAUAAGAACUGUGGGAGUGGACACUCUGCAUAUCAUGGUGGCAGUGUAACUGCAUUCAAGAGAAAGGCAUUUGACCUUUGUCACCUGGUAAAGAUAAUGUGUAGACCAAUUAAGUAAGCCCUGUUGAAUUCAGAAGAGCUUUAGAACUGCAACCAAAGAGUGUGCUGUGAAGCUUGGAAGGAAGAGUGAAAGCAACAAGAGCAAAUACUGAUCAUAUUCGCUGGAUUGAUUGCUGUUCUGGAUAUGGGAUGAAUAAGCGAACACCAGCAAUUUCCACUCUUGUUUCCAUUUUUGCUGGAUCCCUAGUUCCGUGGUCAAGUUGUCUCUCCCACCCACCCCCAAUUUUCACACUAUUAUACUCCUUAAGAUAACACUGAAUAAUUUAAGAAAAAAAGGUCCAAGGACCUUUUUUUAAAAAGUUACUAAGAAAGCUAGUGAAAGAAGUCCAUGUUUUCCUUCUUUUCACGUAUUUAUUGUGUAUCCCAAACAUAUUGUGAUAGAUCUUAACAUUGAUGUCCAAAAAUGUAUGUCACUGUUGAAAUUUCCGAUGUCAUUAUAUGUGUGCCAGGUGGAUAAGUGCUUUUAUGAAAUGAUUCCUGCUGUUGUGUUUCUGCAAUUGUUUUCCUGCUGGAUUUAAAUUGCACAUACCAAACUUUACUGAGAGAGAGAGAGAGAGAGAGAGAGAUAUGAAAAAUUAUAUGAAAAAACUUAAUCUAGAACAGUCUUUUGAAAGCUCAUUUUGAAGUUGUCUAACUGGUUUGUACUGAAUGACCUUGUUCUCAGCCAUGAACUUAUAAACAGCUGAUUUUGAAAUCCAACCAUCCCUGUUGUUAUGAUAUAAUCCUCUUUCACUUCAUCACUCAUUUCUCUGUGAAGUUGGGCUUUCCUUCACUUCCUGUUGUGGAG
Molecule: long non-coding RNA, 1257 nt
Organism: Rhineura floridana
Lineage: Eukaryota; Metazoa; Chordata; Lepidosauria; Squamata; Rhineuridae
Exons: 5
Source: RefSeq, a predicted model, not a curated record